AAUAAACGCAGUUAUGAGUUUCCAUAUCCAACUUUGAUUGUUCGUCUUAUUUAAAAUUCUUUUAUGAUUAAUAUUUUUAUUUUUAUUAGAUUAUAAAAUAUGAAUAAUACUUUAUACAUGACUUAAGUUUUUAAGGUUCUUUUUAAAAAAAAAUAAAUAAAACAGACGAUUAAAGUUGGACACGGAAACUCAUGUCUGUGCUUAUU
This is a microRNA precursor of Oryza rufipogon (brownbeard rice), 206 nucleotides long. It matches the Rfam family "MIR812 microRNA precursor family". The record is from Rfam. Lineage: Eukaryota; Viridiplantae; Streptophyta; Magnoliopsida; Poales; Poaceae.